GACGAACGCUGGCGGCGUGCUUAACACAUGCAAGUCGAACGGAAAGGCCCGGCGUUUGUGGGGUGCUCGAGUGGCGAACGGGGGAGUGACACGUGAGUAAACUGCCCUUGACUUUGGGAGAAAUUCAGGAAACAGGGGCGAAUACCCGAUAGGAUCUCCUGCAGCAUGGUGGGGGUUAGAAAGAGUCGGCGGUGGGGGAUGGACUAGCUGCUUAUCAGCUUGAUUGUCGAGUAGUGGCAUACCAAGGGUUUGACGGGUAGGCGGCAUUAGAGGGUGAACGGGCACAUUGGGACUGAGAUACGGACCAGACUCCUACGUGACGCAGCAGUGGGGAAUAUUGCACAGUGGGCGGAAGCCUGAUGUAGCAACGCCGCGUGCGGGAUGACCGCUUUUGGGUUGUAAACCGCUUUCUACGGUGACGAAGAGUGCGUGACGGUAAUUGGUCAAGAAGCCCCGGCUAACUACGUG
RNAcentral lists this ribosomal RNA (468 nucleotides) under uncultured bacterium. RNAcentral's name for it is "partial 16S ribosomal RNA". It matches the Rfam family "Bacterial small subunit ribosomal RNA", at positions 28 to 507 of the family's 1533-position model. The record is from RNAcentral.